Molecule: long non-coding RNA, 366 nt
Organism: Budorcas taxicolor (takin)
Lineage: Eukaryota; Metazoa; Chordata; Mammalia; Artiodactyla; Bovidae
Exons: 3
Source: RefSeq, a predicted model, not a curated record
GAAUAAUUUGUUUAGCCAUGUCAUAUCCUUUGUGGAAUAAGAUCCAGGUAAGAGCUGAUGGGAGCCUACACUGAGGCCUGGGAGGACAAGAAGACCGAUCAGAAGAGUCAUGGAAGAGAUAGAAUCAACUGGAUUUUGCUGACGAUAUCCGUAUGGGUGUGAUGGAGGUGGCCGAAGUGGCAGAGAAGACGGGAAGCAUUUCUUUCUGAAGAAACGACCUGUCCAUCCUGUUGUCUUUUCUUCUGGCAUCUCUUCGCUUCAACCUCCUGUCUCCCAUGUGACUAACUGGUCGUUACACUUGGGUUUAGGAUUAAAAGAAGGAAGGGUCUGAUUGAGUCAUUAUCACUGGAGUACCCUGCCCCAGGG